Molecule: ribosomal RNA, 1002 nt
Filed under: Enterococcus faecium
Lineage: Bacteria; Bacillati; Bacillota; Bacilli; Lactobacillales; Enterococcaceae
Description: bacterial SSU rRNA
Rfam family: Bacterial small subunit ribosomal RNA
Source: RNAcentral
GCUUCUUUUUCCACCGGAGCUUGCUCCACCGGAAAAAGAAGAGUGGCGAACGGGUGAGUAACACGUGGGUAACCUGCCCAUCAGAAGGGGAUAACACUUGGAAACAGGUGCUAAUACCGUAUAACAAUCAAAACCGCAUGGUUUUGAUUUGAAAGGCGCUUUCGGGUGUCGCUGAUGGAUGGACCCGCGGUGCAUUAGCUAGUUGGUGAGGUAACGGCUCACCAAGGCCACGAUGCAUAGCCGACCUGAGAGGGUGAUCGGCCACAUUGGGACUGAGACACGGCCCAAACUCCUACGGGAGGCAGCAGUAGGGAAUCUUCGGCAAUGGACGAAAGUCUGACCGAGCAACGCCGCGUGAGUGAAGAAGGUUUUCGGAUCGUAAAACUCUGUUGUUAGAGAAGAACAAGGAUGAGAGUAACUGUUCAUCCCUUGACGGUAUCUAACCAGAAAGCCACGGCUAACUACGUGCCAGCAGCCGCGGUAAUACGUAGGUGGCAAGCGUUGUCCGGAUUUAUUGGGCGUAAAGCGAGCGCAGGCGGUUUCUUAAGUCUGAUGUGAAAGCCCCCGGCUCAACCGGGGAGGGUCAUUGGAAACUGGGAGACUUGAGUGCAGAAGAGGAGAGUGGAAUUCCAUGUGUAGCGGUGAAAUGCGUAGAUAUAUGGAGGAACACCAGUGGCGAAGGCGGCUCUCUGGUCUGUAACUGACGCUGANGCUCGAAAGCGUGGGGAGCAAACAGGAUUAGAUACCCUGGUAGUCCACGCCGUAAACGAUGAGUGCUAAGUGUUGGAGGGUUUCCGCCCUUCAGUGCUGCAGCUAACGCAUUAAGCACUCCGCCUGGGAGUACGACCGCAAGGUUGAAACUCAAAGGAAUUGACGGGGGCCCGCACAAGCGGUGGAGCAUGUGGUUUAAUUCGAAGCACGCGANAACCUUACCAGGUCUUGACAUCCUUUGAUCACUCUAGAGAUAGAGCUUCCCCUUCGGGGGCAAAGUGACAGGUGUGC